UUCCCAUGGUGGAAACUCGUGGUGGUGGUGCUGCUGCCCCACUUAUUAUCGCAUUUAGCCUCACGGAUCUCCGCAAUCCCAUUUCUUGAACAUUAGAAUUUUCACUUGUGGAAUUUUCUAAAUUUCUUUUUGUGCGAGAGUCUUCUACGAGUAUGGAUUUCAACUCUCAAUGAAAGCACCAAUUUGUGGAUGCAAAUUUCUUCCUCCUUGAUCUUGGACAAUUAACACCUUAGGUUAAGGCCAAGAGCCUCACGCACCCACGAUGAAUGGGGGGGCUUUGGCCGAAGAACCUUCGAUGCCAAAGUUAGAAUUUAGAGAGAAAGAGUGUUUAGAGAAUUUUGAGAUUUUUGCCAAAGUGUUGGAAUUAGUGUUUUGGUGAAAAUGGGAACCAAUUUAUAGGAGAGGAAAGGAUGGCCGGCCACUUAGUAGGGUUUUAGGUUUUGUUUUGGUUUAAUUAGCCAAUUAAUUGGCUAAUUAAACAUAAAAGGAAAUGCUUUUGUGGUUAUGGAAUUUAUUGGCUAAUAAAAAGGAAGAAAUGGUGAAAAAUGUAGAAAAGGUGAUGGAUGAGGUUUUGAAAUGGGGAUAGCCGGCCCUUUUGUGGGAGUUAGGGUAAAGUGAAAGGUCUAAAUGCUAAUUAAGAGAAUAAUUAGCUAAUUAACCCAUUAAUUAGCUAUUUAUCAUUAUUUUAGAAGGAAUGUUUUAGGAAUUAUGGAAUAAGUGUAGUAUUUAGCUAAUUGAUUAGCUAAAUAAUGAAAUAGGAAAUAUAUGAAUAAAUUAGGUUUUAAGUUGAUACCUAUUUUGGACACUUUUGACUUGGUUGAGGGAUAAUUGCCCGCUGCUUGCGCGUAGGAAUCCCGGUAUGCCCCAAGGGUAGUUUUGUCUUCUUUUGUCAAAAAUCCACAUGUCGCCUUGUAAAUAUUUUUGGCUCCACAGUAGCCCCUCAGGUUUGAGGGUAAAAUACAAUCCCAUACAACAUCUUUAAAACAUUUCACUUUCAUACAUCCAGUACCAUUUUAUUUCAAAAUAACACCUCCGUUAGAUUUUCCAUCCAUUAGUCUGUUAAUGCUGACAUGGCUGUCAAAUGUGUGUCACGUGGUAAAAAAAAUAAUUUAAAUUUUUUUAAAACCUAAAU
This 1132-nucleotide long non-coding RNA is filed under the name Malus domestica (apple). RNAcentral describes it as "long non-coding RNA (MDOM_LNC004013)". The record is from RNAcentral. Lineage: Eukaryota; Viridiplantae; Streptophyta; Magnoliopsida; Rosales; Rosaceae.